CCCUUAGAUGUUCUGGGCCGCACGCGUGCUACACUGAUGCAUUCAACGAGUCUAAAACCUGGUCUGAUAGGGCUGGGUAAUCUUUUGAAAGUGCAUCGUGAUUGGGAUAGAUGAUUGCAAUUCUUCAUCUUCAACGAGGAAUGCCUAGUAAACGCAAGUCAUCAGCUUGCAUUGAUUACGUCCCUGCCCUUUGUACACACCGCCCGUCGCUCCUACCGAUUGAAUGAUCCGAUGAAUAUCAUGGAUUGAGGAUGCAAGUAGGUUCGCCUAUCUUCAUCUUCGAGAAGUGAAGUAAAUCUUAUCAUUUAGAGGAAGGAGAAGUCGUAACA
RNAcentral lists this ribosomal RNA (329 nucleotides) under uncultured eukaryote. RNAcentral's name for it is "partial 18S ribosomal RNA". It matches the Rfam family "Eukaryotic small subunit ribosomal RNA", at positions 1470 to 1796 of the family's 1831-position model. The record is from RNAcentral.